This 253-nucleotide ribosomal RNA is filed under the name uncultured bacterium. RNAcentral's name for it is "partial 16S ribosomal RNA". It matches the Rfam family "Bacterial small subunit ribosomal RNA", at positions 524 to 776 of the family's 1533-position model. The record is from RNAcentral.
UACGAAGGGGGCUAGCGUUGUUCGGAUUCGUUGGGCGUAAAGGGUGCGUAGGCGGCGCGGUAAGUCGGGUGUGAAAUCUCGGGGCUUAACUCCGAAACUGCAUUCGAUACUGCCGUGCUUGAGGACUGGAGAGGAGACUGGAAUUUACGGUGUAGCGGUGAAAUGCGUAGAUAUCGUAAGGAAGACCAGUGGCGAAGGCGGGUCUCUGGACAGUUCCUGACGCUGAGGCACGAAGGUCAGGGGAGCAAACGGG